Molecule: long non-coding RNA, 277 nt
Filed under: Penaeus japonicus
Lineage: Eukaryota; Metazoa; Arthropoda; Malacostraca; Decapoda; Penaeidae
Description: uncharacterized LOC122262045, transcript variant X1
Source: RNAcentral
AGUGUAGAGUUGAAGCCGAAAGAGACAAAACGGAAGGUUAUUUCCAAAGAAAAGGGACCUCCACCCCCCUCCCCAGUGACAAAACGGAAGGGUAUUUCAAAAGAAGAAAGAAAGCCACCAGUGACAAAACGGAAGGAUAUUUCAAGAGGAGAAAGAACGCCCCCAACAUCAACUCGGCCAGCGAAGAAGUCAACACCAAAGAGAACCACAAAAGCUGUGGAUGUUCCAAGGAAGAAGGUAAAACCGAGCAUGCAUGGAAGGCUGACCGUAGACCAGA